This 497-nucleotide ribosomal RNA is filed under the name uncultured bacterium. Its description in RNAcentral is "partial 16S ribosomal RNA". It matches the Rfam family "Bacterial small subunit ribosomal RNA", at positions 28 to 507 of the family's 1533-position model. The record is from RNAcentral.
GAUGAACGCUGGCGGCGUGCCUAAUACAUGCAAGUCGAGCGAACAGACGAGGAGCUUGCUCCUCUGACGUUAGCGGCGGACGGGUGAGUAACACGUGGAUAACCUACCUAUAAUACUGGGAUAACUUCGGGAAACCGGAUCUAAUACCGGAUAAUAUAUUGAACCGCAUGGUUCAAUAGUGAAAGACGGUUUUGCUGUCACUUAUAGAUGGAUCCGCGCCGCAUUAGCUAGUUGGUAAGGUAACGGCUUACCAAGGCGACGAUGCGUAGCCGACCUGAGAGGGUGAUCGGCCACACUGGAACUGAGACACGGUCUAGACUCCUACGGGAGGCAGCAGUAGGGAAUCUUCCGCAAUGGGCGAAAGCCUGACGGAGCAACGCCGCGUGAGUGAUGAAGGUCUUCGGAUCGUAAAACUCUGUUAUUAGGGAAGAACAAAUGUGUAAGUAACUAUGCACGUCUUGACGGUACCUAAUCAGAAAGCCACGGCUAACUACGUG